Long non-coding RNA from Daphnia carinata, 1776 nucleotides. RefSeq lists it as uncharacterized. The transcript is spliced from 5 exons. The record is from RefSeq and is a predicted model, not a curated record. Lineage: Eukaryota; Metazoa; Arthropoda; Branchiopoda; Diplostraca; Daphniidae.
GAACUACUCCAAAAUGUCCUUCACUUGCUGCUACGUGAAGUGGCCGCACUCCAUCCGCUCGGUUGAUGUUGGCAUUGCAACCUGAUUUGAGUAGCAUCUGAACACACUUUUCACCUCCUUCCGUCACUCUGGCUGCUAUGUGAUUUAAAGAUAAUUUCGGUUUACCUCGAAUAUGAACUUGAGCUCCGUAUCCCAAUAGGGUUUCGACAACAUUAGCUUUGCCGGCCUGGACGGCAACGUGAAGAGCUGUAUAAUUAUCCUGUUAAAAAUCAAUGGGAUUCUUUUGGUGUCUUAAAUAUUUCUUUAUCAGUUUUUUUUUGUGUGUGACUAAUUUUACAUUUGUAGUAGCGUCCACUUGUUCUCCUUUCAACAAAAGAGUUUGAAUGACUCCGACGUGGCCCUUCCGUGCAGCGAUGUGAAUACUCCGUGCUCCACUCUUUAAACCGAUCGUUAAUUAUUGAUUUAAUUCAACUCCUUUCAACUAGCUUUGUUAAAAAAGCAUGCGGAACACACCUUGUUAGGCAUGUGAAGUGGAACUCCCUUUUUCAGCAGCAUUAGAGCUGUGUCCGGAUGUCCAUGGAAUGAAGCUACGUGCAGUAAAGUGCUGCCAUCUUUAGUUCGAUCCAGACAGGAUGCCCGGAAUUUUUCCGUCAGGAUCUCUACCACAGCUGUUUUGCCCCUUUCAGCCGCAAUGAGCACGGGUGUCCGAUCUGUUUCGGAUUUACACCUGAGAGAUUUUCUUUACAGGAUAUACGUUAACAGCAUCGACGGGGCUGCCUUGAUCGUUCAAAAUCCGAAGAAGUUCAAUAUCGCGGCGUCUCGUGGCUGCGUGAAAGGCAUUUUCCAUUUUCGGCCCAAAGGUAGCCUUCACCUGGAGGUCGCCAUUCAUGUUGAGCAGCUCUUUCGUCACGUGCAUGUUGCCUAUUUCCACGGCGAUAUGCAACGCCAAGCCACGAUCACGCACUGUAUCUCUAGCCAGUCGGAAGUCUUUCGCUCCUGAAGCCAAUAGCAUUUUAGCGACAGAUGCACCGGAUCCGCCUGUUCUUGACGCCACCAAGUGAAGCACGUUUUGUUCGCGAGGCUUUUUUUGAAAGAAACGGGAAUGAUCAGGAAAUAUGAAGGAUGUUAAGAAAUUUGAAUGACUUACCCCGGCUGGAAUGGUGAUAUCAGCUUUACGGGAAAGUAAGUUCUUUAUGACAUCCUCUCUCGAAAACAAGACAGCCAAGUGAAACGCGUUGUAAUUAUCCUGCAGAUAUGUCCAUAACAAAAAAAAAGGUGAGACAAUUGCAAAAGUCCCAACUCGGCGCUGACAUUCGGAAAGAUCGCGUGCGCACUACAUUUUGCUUCCGAGUCGGCAUCCGUAAUAAUGGAUUACGGUUGUAUUGUGUCACGCGCCAUGUAGUUUACAUUUUCCUCCAGGAACCGAAAAAUUUAAAGGUCGCUGGCCGGAAGGGGUAUGUAUAUACGUACAUAGCGCAUAUCACUAUUUAUCUAUAAACAGUUUACACGUUCCAGGAUUGUUUUUUUUUUUCCAACGCUAUUUUUCUUUGUUCGAUAGCGGUCAGCAACGGUAGUUUUUUUUUUUUCGAAACCUUUUUAUUUCUUUGGUUGUUUAAUCGAUAUUAUUUAGAGCUGACAGGUAUGUCGGGAGAGCCAUAAAAAAUGAUCAUCACCUGUUGACGUGAAUGGCUAUAGUUCUGUUAUCACGCUAGACCAGAACACUUAAACUCGCGUCGCAAUCCAAUUUGACACAAUAGAAAACGAAAAACUAAAAUU